AAAAGUUCAAACGGAGCACUCAACGUCUCCCUCACCUUAGCUGAUACGCUUCUUUGUAGAAGGGGCAUUUCCGUAAAUCCAUCCUUCGACAUUAUUCAGCUCCCCUCUCCUUACGUAAGCUCCCCAAGACACUGUCCAAUCCAACCCCAAACCUAGAGCCUCUCUCUCUCUCUCUCUCUCUCUCUCUCUCCUCAAAGUUUUUGCCAAUGCCGGCGACGAGGACGGCCUGACAGAGGAGGAGGAAGCAUGGCGAAGUUCUUUGGGGACGCGGCGUCGGUGCUGAUGAAGGUGCUGAUGAGGAAGAGCAUCAGCCUGUACGCCGAGUUCUCUUACCUCUUCACCGACCUCGCCUCCCUCGUCGUGUCGGCUCUCCGGUUCUCCACCAUCGUGGCCAGGCAACCUUCUUCUUUCCCUCCUCAUCCUUCUACGUCUUCCACUUCUGCUGCUGCUGCUGCUGCUUCGACCUCUGCUUCUUCUGCCAGAAGGUACUCGCCGAUCCUGAUGUCCAUGGCCAUCCGACACCGUGUGUACUGAGCUCGAUCGAUGCGGUUGACAUUGUGCUGCUGGAUCUUCCUUUUCUUGCCCUCUUGUCUUUUGGGGUUGGCUUACGUGGGGUGUUCGGAACUUGCCCAUGAUUCGUUCGUAUGGCGAUGAGGGGAAUCUAUGCAAGUCUCUGGUUUCCCAGGCGCAAAAUGUUUGUUCUUCUUGAUGAUGGGAUGGUUCUUGCUGGGGAUACUAUUUGGGACGCCGGUUUGUUUUUAUGAUUAUCGAGAUUUCCAGCCGCGGGACAGGUUUGAGAUUUCGUUAUGUAUGGGUUCCUGUAGGCUUGCGACCGAUCUGCGAUCUGUUUCGCAGAUGAUUAGGAAACUCGAAUUCAACGAGACAUUUUGCUCGAUUGUGUGAUGAGACUGUGUGAUGAGACGCAUCAUGUAUCAGAACAUGUAAUAACCGAUAAGUACUAAUUUACUCCUUUUCCUUUUCACAAUCUGAACAAUGGUUUUUCCAAUCAUCGUGAUUGUCUGAAUUUAGGAAAGUAAGGUGGUUUUAUUAGAUCACGUUGUUGACACCCAAAAAUGGCAAAGUGUUGCGAGAUAGCCGAUGAGCAGGGUUUGAUCGAGAAGAACAGAUUUGAUCUGAGAAUUAGGGCAGUCGAGAAGAUCGGCAAGUCGAUGUCUAGCACAAUCGACAAGAUUCUUCAUCCAGAAUUCAAGAAUUGAUCGAUAACAGCAGGCUCUAUUAGAUUUUGACCAAGUAUAAGAAGACAAUCGAUGAACGGAGUGAAAAAAUGAUUGCUUUGCUGAUUAAGAGGCAAGGGUGGCAAAUUGACGCGCGUCUGUAACUGUCAAAUGGUCAAAUCGAUAAUUUAGGUACUUGUAACUUCUUAUAGAUAAAUGUUGUUGAUGAAUGAAACUAUGGGUGAAUUUGUGAUUAUUCAAUAACUGUGUAUAUGUAAAUGUCGAUGGUGGGUUAUAAACACUUUCAGUGUAUACGUUGUAAAGGUUACUCAAUCAAUCUUAGAACAUCCAAUGUUAUUUUUCAUAAUCCUUUAAUUUGUAGCAUUAUUUACAUUGCUAGCAACUAUUGUUUUUGGUAUUCUUACCAUUAAGUUUCCAGCCAUUUACUUUCCUGUCUAAAAUCAAUAAAAAUGCCUUCACAACCAUUUAUCAAUUUAUUCAAAUCCAUCACACUUAAGGAUUUUUCACUUUUCUGGCGAAAAUGAUGAAAGUGCAAAAUCUGUCUUUUACGAUUUAGCUACUAGUCAACUGAGUCUUUAAUGUUUUAAAAAAUGUUCAAUCAAGUGAUAAACUUGUUGCUAAUAGAUUUAUAAUGUUGGAAACUCGAUGUGGCUUUCAAGCUCAUUUGUGGCCAAAUGGUAUUAAUGAAAGCUCGAGUCAGAGACAUGUAAGAUAUCCAACGUCAAAACCCCAUUAAUAGUGAGUUUAGGAUUUGAUUAUACAUAACAUUAAGUACUUAUUCUCACUUAUUACCUAGAAGCAAAUGGAUUUCAUGAUAAACCUUGCAUCUGAGCCUUUGCUUGCCGGGGGAAAGGAAGUCCAGUGCACUUGCCAAAUAAAUAGGUUGGAGGAAGGCCACUCUGAUGACAACUUGUUCACUAAGGUCCAUAUUGUCGUAAUUCGUAUAUAAUGUCUUGUAACAUAUAAUAACUCAGAAAGUUAAUGAUCGCGAGUGAGCUUCGGUUCUUAUAUGAUGCAAUGCCUAUGAAUUCCCUGAGAAAUUUAGGGGCAACUCGAGCGAGGAUACAAGUUCUCGCCCAAAUAAUUUGGUUUCUUGAAGUAAACCCUAACCAAACUUCUUCUGACCAAACAACACAAGAAAAGGCCACCAAACAGAUGCAAGGUGAAACGUAAAUGGUUGCUUCCUAUAAAAGGUCAACAUUAUGUACAUGCCCACCUGUAUACAUUUGAUUCAAAACCCUCGUCUACAAUCUCCGAUUUCCGUUGGUCUGAUGGGUAGUUGGAUUUGAUACCGUGCCGCUUUCCGAUACUUCCAGCAAGCAAGCUAUUUCCAUCUUCUAGUUCACUCUAAUUACAGAGAACUUGUCACCCCCUCUCCCUCCCUCUCUCCCUCCCUCUUUUAAGUUUUGGCCUUUUUUCGUCUUUUUAACUUUUGGAGGGGAGGGAUUUGACCUAAAUCUCUCCCUCCCCUCUUUAUUGCUUUUUUUUUUUCUCUUAUUUCUUUCCUUACUCUCCGAAUCUAGAUUUAGAUUUGGGAUUUUGAUCUCCCAAUCUUAGGUUUGAGAGUUUUUCUCUCUAAUCUAAUUUUAGAUUUAAGAGUUUUAAUGAACAAGUACUUCACCUCCAAUCUCAAUGGUGUUCACAGUAGUUUCGGUGUCAAAUUUGUACUCGUUCAAUUUUGGAUAGCUCGCUUUCACAGGUCUUAUAUUGUAGGAGGCCUGUGUCACCAAUUGAAACGGACAAAACAUGUACAGCCUUAGAUAGAAAUUUUAAAAAAAUCACUUUUUUUUAAUAUGUGUCCAACCAUUCUUUCUUGAAUUUAACACAUAUUGGCACGCCAAUUCUCGUUCGUUUGAUUUUAAUUAUGUAUUUUAAACUUAAUUAUACUUUUUCAAUAAGAAAAACUCAUUCAUGUUUUAUUAAAGUGUUUCGAGUAUAAAUAAUGUAUUUUCUAUUACUCAUAUUUCAUAUUACAUAUAUUGUAAUACAUGUUUUUAUUUUUAAAAAUGACUUCAGGCCAAUCCAGGCCAUUUCUGGCUCGAAAAUCUCGGGCCCGAAGGCCCAAACCCGCUCGGAUGGAAAAAGUAUAUAUGAUAAACUCGAAAUUCUAGCUAUGGCAUUAGCCUCCAAAAUUAGGCUAGUCUACGCUUUCGGGCUUCGGCUCUUUCUUCUUCCCUUCUUUUGAGCUGGGAUUUAUUUUUAGUUUAAUUUUUUUGCAAAAAUUUGGGCGUGUUUUGACAAAACUGCCCUUGAUUUGCUUAAUAUUGGGUACCUUGAUAAUUCGUUCAAUUAAGUAUCCUUCCAAUAUAUGGCUCAACGUGGCCCUUCUGGCAAAUAAAGUGCCACGUCAUCAAGCUUUUGCUGACUUGGCUUGUCCACUCACUGAAAAAAAACUGCAUUUUUGCUCUGUUUCUUAUGUUUAAUGUUCAAUUCACUCAUCAAUCAACAACACAUUCAAUGCGUCGGGGACAAGGUUUAUGAUGUAGCCUGUGUGUUGCAUCAUUGUCCUUGCAAAAACAUGACCUUAAAAUUGAACAUGUGUUCGUCUUGUCCAUUGCAUUUCCAUAAAUUGGGAUUAUAAACUCAAUUCGAAAAUGAAUUUUAAUAAACUUCCCAUAUCUCCUUCCAUGUUUUUUGUUCGACAUGCGACCCUAAUGCUACUCACUGUCAUGCCAGGUGUCAUCACUUGUCUAGCGAUGGGUGCUGCACUGUCAUUUGCUGCACUUGGUGCCAUCAAUCCUAGCAUCUGUGCUGACACCUCUCUUCCACUUUAGGUAUUGUAUACAAAAAAGAAAAAGAAAAAAAAGACAAUUUUUGUAAUUAACAUGGGGUUGAUUUGAGCGAGUAUAGAACUCGGUGUUAAAUUCGACUUAGUUAUUGGUAAUUUGCCAAUAAUAUAAAUAGUUGUUGAUCACAUGAUAAUUAUUGAUGACUAAGGAAUAUAGAUGUCGACAUACGAUAGUGUGAUUGGUCAACAAUUAUCACUUAACGGGUUGGGUAGGUGUUGAAUAUAGAGGAAAGGAAGAAAGAGGACAAAGUGGGAAUGUGGAUUGAAGAUAAAGAUUCCAAUUAAGGGUCAAACCUGGUGACGCUUAAGGAGUUGUAACUGCUUGUUGGUAAGGUCGAUGUGCGAUUAUAGAGCCUAAAAAUAUGAAGAUGUGGUUGUAAUGUUAUACUUUUUAGUAGCCUAUAUAAAGCCGUGUGUAAUUGUUAUGAGGACAUAACUACCAUCACAAUAACUUAUUUAUUUUCACAAUUUAUCCAUACUCACAUUUCAUUCCCUUGAAAAUUUAAUUAUUCUCGAUCAUUAUUAUGCAAUUCAAUUUUUGUCCGAAUCACCGCUAGACCUGUUCAAUAAAAAAUGAAGAUCAACCUUUGUGAAAUGUAUUUCACCGAUUUGGACAGCUUUCAAUCUCUAGUGAAACAUAUAUCUAGUGCUAACUUCCAUAAACUAGGCAUUGCGUUUUCUAGAAAAUUCCAUAAUAAAAUUCUUUGAUCCCAUCCGAUUCACUAAGACAUCGAGAAAAGCAAAUAGUGUUUCACAAAAUUUUGGAUAUGAUAAUUGAAUCGGUAUAAUAUUUACAAUCUUAUGAAUAUAAAAAAAUAAAUUACUCGUGAUGAAUUAUUAGAUCCAAAAGUAAUAAAGAAUUAAGUGUACUAAUUUGUCAAAAAAAGUUUUGUUGACACCUAAAUUUUGGCGAUCCAUUUAGUCAUUUAUUACAUAAAAAUUAGGGGUUAAUUUUAUCCUUAAAAAAAUAUAUUAAUUGCAUAGCUACAUUUAGUUUGCAUAUUUUGCAUUUUAUUUACUGGACCGGUGGCGGAUGGAUCGAAUUGGUGGUUUUGAAUUUUAAAUUAAUAGGCCGGGCUAGGCCCAUGAAAUGAUAAAAUUAACCCAAGCCCGUCGUUGUUGUUUAAUUGAUUAUCUUGUGAAAAUUUAAGAUUUGAUGCGAUAUUAUGAUGAUUUUUGGAAAUUAAAAAAUCGCACUGUAAUCUUAAAGUUGGGAAUAUUAAGGAGGAUAAGGAAUAUUCUAAAAUAUUUUGUUGCAGAUGGAUAUCUCGAAAGAUUUUAGAAUUGGAUAAUAGAGUUUUAUCUAAAGUGAAUUAUUUGGAAAAUCUUCACAAAAAAAUUCCAGUUUAUCUUUAAUCGCUGAGUCAGCAUAUAAAAUCUUCAAUGGUCGAGCGAGUCAGCUUGGAAGAUUUUAAUAAAUGAUUUCAAUGGCCGAGUGAGUCAGCAUACACGAUAAUCUCGAAAGAUGAUCUUCAGCGAUUGAGUUGUUAUGCAAAUCUUCGUAGGUUGAGCAGACUAAGUUUUCACUCUAUAAAUGGGGGUGGCCUUCUCUUCGUCCGAGGGGGAGCUUUUUUUGAAAAAAUUCAGAAAUAAGGGAAGAGAAAGGUAAAAAGAAGCUUUGCUUCUGCAGUAAAAAAAAGAAAGAGAGAAAGAGUACGAAGGAAGAGGGAGAGUGACGUGAGAGAGGGAGAGAGAGGAAGAAAAGUCAAAAGGACAAAAAAGGAAAAGUCAGAACGUGAGAGAGAGAGAGGAGAAAAGGUAAAGUGAAAAGGGGGUGAUUUGACCCCUACUGUUCAUCGUCUCCCCCAACUUGCUGCCCACGUUGCUGCUCCAUCCGUGACGCUCGUUGCAGCUCCAUCCGCACUGCUCAGAGCUCCUUCGCCUCGCCACGCUGCAGGACGUGUGUGCGACCACCACCGCUCCUCGCCUUCCACGAAGCCCGACGCCCUCCUCCGCUUUUCGCCGGUAAUCGAUCCGCUCAACGUCGCCUGCUGUUACUCGGAGCCGAAGCCCUGCGACCACUGCCCAUUCCCCUUCCGACGUUGCUGCGGCUCCUGUUCUGCUCGUUGUCGCGCCUACUGCGUCUCCACCACCGCCGGCAGUUGAACCGCAAGCCAUCGCCGCUCCGCCGGUUGUCCGCGACCGCCCAGCGCCGAUUUGCCUCUCACCAGUCCGACGGAGCUACCGCCUUGCCGCACCGCAACCCAGCCGUGCUGACUCGUGUGCCCUGCUCUGAGUACUGCCCGUGCCCCAAAAUCGCGACGCCACUGGAGCCCCAAAUCAGUCGUACCGCCGAGCCGAUUUGCCCUCUGUUCGCGAUCUGCCUGCAACCCGCGCUGGUCCGAGAUCUGCCGUCUUGCCCCGCCGCGCCUCCUUCGCCCGUGCCGCCCCUGUCUCGCCUGACCCGUGACCAGCUGUGCCUGCUGCGGCCCUUGCCGGAGUUCCCCUUCGCCGGACCUUCGCCGGACCGAUUGACCCGCUGCCCUUGGAGACCCACGGUUACAAGCAGGAAAAGAAAAACAAAAAAAGAAAAGGAAAGGGAAAUUAGGUAGUUUUAUUCUUUUUCUAUUUACUUUAUUUUAUUUAUUUCUUUUAAGUUCAGGAGUAAUCUUUAUUUUAUGGAUUUUGUAGGCAUUAUCCAUAGGUCUUCCCCAAAAUUAUUGUAAUUACUAAUUUGAUCCGUAAGAUGUCGGAUAAUUUUUUUAAUUAUAUUAAUUUUUGGGGUUUGUUGAUAUGUUUUAAGUGCUGGAUCAAUGUAAUUAUUAAUUUGAUCCGUAAGAAUUCGGAUCAGAUUUUUGGUUAUUUUGAACUCUUUGUCGUGAUAAUUAGGGUUAUGAUAAUCGUUAAUUUGACAUGUGAGACAACGGGUUAUUUUUUCCAAUUAUUUUAAUUCUUUAUUUGAUUGCAUAUCUUGAUUGUUUAGAUUUAAUGUUUAGCUGAUAAUUGCUUGUUUUGGAUAAUCACUAAAAAAAUCAAAAAAAAAUAUUCGAAUUAAGAUUUAGUUUGUUUUAGAAUAUUUCUUGUUAUCUUGCAUAUCUAGGAUAAGGAUUUCAGUUUGAAAAAUAUAAAAAAUGCAUUAAUUUAGGAUUUUAGUUGCAUGUUUAAUUACGUGGCAAUUUUAAAUUUUGAAUUUUAAAUAAAAAAUAAAAGAUAAAAAAUAUCAUGCAUAUGUCAUGUAGAAUUAGGGCUUGCUCCGCACGUCAUUGCAUAUUAGAUCUAUUACAUGUUAGAUUAAGAUAAUAUCUUAAUUUAAAUUAGGAUUUAAUGUGACUUAAUCCUUAGUUUAAAUUAGAUAGAAUUUUAAUCUAGCUAGAUCAUUUUUGCAUUUUUAAAUAGAAAUAUCAAAUGCACGUCAUUUAGUUUUUAUUAGGUUCAUUUAAUUAGAACUUCCUUGUCAUUAGACUAAAUCAUUUAAUAAAUGUCGCAUGAUAUAUAACUCGAGUGCUAAAUUAUUUGCGGCAUGUCAUCUUAGUUUAAAUAAUUUUGUAUGUCAUUGCAUCGCAUUGCAUGUCAUUAGAAUUAGGUCAUUUAGAUUGCAUUUAAUUAUUGCAUUUCUUCAUGUCAUAUAGUUUAGGUCAUGCUGCCAUGUCAUAUUGGAUUAUUAACAUGCAUUGCAUAAGUCAUGAUUUUCAUUAAAUAAAAUGAAAACAAAAAUUGAAAUUGCGUGUUAAUUAGAAAUCAUAUCUAGGGCUGCUGAUGCGAAUUCUGAUUUAACAAUGCAGAUGCUUUCGUUGCUCCUAGGUAUGUUUUGCAAUAUUUAAUUGCUUUCUUGAGUGUUAAAUUGGUGGUAUGCGCACAUGUUUGAUCACCUCACAUAUUAGGAAGUUAGUUUAAAAUCAAUUCAAUUGCCAAAUAUUUUUGAAAAUGAAAAGAAUGGUACCGAAAGGGCAUUAGAGAAAUCUAAUGUAAUCAAGUCCCCGUACCCUUAGUCUUUAGUUCGUAGGAGUAAAGUAAUUAUCCCAUUAUUUUACUUAGGUAUCUAAUCGACCUAUCAUAAACUGAUUAGUGGCGACUCCUAAAUAAAAUCAAUUUUCAUGUUAAGAAUUCAAACCUAAGUCGCGAAUUGGUAUGGGCUUGGGAGAGCCCGAGUUAAGUUUAGGCUUAACAAUCCAUUAACCUAAUUUUAGGUGAUUCACACCCCGCGAAAAAUUCCGGUCGCGACAAGUUUACUAAACAAUUAUUCAGUUAAUUAAAUCGUGAUGAUGGCAUAAGCUAAAGUAGGCUACAGUGAGAUUAAAUGCUUCUUUUCUUUUUUCCUAUUAUUAUUUUCAAUAAAAACAAGUUGACCGUCCAUUCUUUCUGUCAGGGGGGUGUCGACAUAUUUCGGGGGGGAGCUUUGGACUUUUGCUCGGGGCGACGGGGUUUGAAAAGAUCGAGGGUCGUGUCGGCUCGGGAUGAGUUCAUGAUGUCGUCAUUCUGCAGCGCCUGAUCUUGUCUCCGCCGGGCCCUUCUUUUACGGUUUUGCCCUUACUCGCUCUGUAUCUCCCACGAGCUGCCACUGGAACCUAAUAUGAAAGAGUGCUUUAAAAAAAAAAAAAGCAGAAUAGAUAAGUACACUUAAAAUCCCACGUCCUAAAAGUGUAGUCAAGCCCUUAAAAUUUUAGAAAUUUGAAAGAUUUAAAAAAAAACAAUCAACAAAAUGACUUGAUUUAAUUAAUUUAAAAAAAUUUAUGAUUUAAUUGUACUUUUUAAAAAUUUUCAGAUUAAUAAAUUUUAAUACUUGAUUGGAUAUUUUUAAAGUCUUAUAACUUUCGUCAUAAAUUUUAAGAUUUCCAUUACACUUAUGAAUAUAUAUAUAUAAAUUCUUGUUCUUGCCUUGCCCUCCAUUGGUCUAGCUGCAAAUUUUUUUUAAGUACCAUCAAAGGUUGAUCAAACAUUUGUUUUUGUGAAUUUUCUAUAUUUUUCGUUUGAAGGGACAUGUUCAGGUCGAGUUUGAUUUAAAUUGAAAAUGAUAAAGAGUUUCGACAACGGUUAAAAGAGCUUUAGUUAGCUUGAUUUUGAUAUAUGACCUUUUACUAACAAGAGAUGGAUGUAUUUAUUUGGAAUCCAAGGCAUUACCGUCUGUUGCAUACCACAAACAAAGGAACCUCUUUUUUCCGGACUUGAUUAAUCGAGUCGAAGAAAUUGAAUAGGGUUUUAUCUAAUAAAUAAUUCUAGCAUUAUAGCUAAAAAAAAAUCUUGACUAAUAUUAGACACAUAUGAACUUUUCGAAUUGUAUGAUAGGAACUUUACAAAGUAAGGCCAGCCUUCGUUUCAAAGUUAUCAUCUCUCCCUCUAUAAAAGUUGUAUUCCUUGGAUAAGCUAUCAACAACAAUAAAGCAUAAAAAGUUUAAGCGGAGGAACGUUUUGCAAAAGAGCAUAUUUCACUAUCUUUUCAUGUGUCACUAGAGGAGCACCGCACAUCUAGUUUGACAAAAGGGCAUUUCGAUAAAUCCACCCCAAACCUAAAUCGGCCCAUUCGCCGAGUUCUCUUGCCUGUUCACAUGGCCAUCCUAUCAAAUAAAGUGCCACGUCAUCAUGUUUUGCUGACUUGGCUUGUCCACUCACCGAAAAUUCUUCAUUUAUGUCUCAUAUAUGCAAUGUACAAUUCAUUCAUCAUUCAACAGCCCUGCACGAGGCAGGACAAAAGUCUGAGAGUGAGUGUAGAGUAGGAAUAGGAAAAAAAAAAAAAAUAGCCCGUUAAAUGCAAGGAGGUGUGGGGUCCGUGACAUGGGAAGGGGAAUCGACUGAAAUUCUAAAAGCCCAUUUUGGUAGCCUGCAUGCUGCAUCAUCAUCCUUGCAAAACCAUAGCCUUGAAAUUGAACCUAUGCUCGUCUUGACCAUUGCAUUUCCACAAAUUUGGGAUUAAAAACUCAAUUCGAGAAUGGACUUUAAUGAACUUCCCAUCUCUCCUUCCACACUUUUUGUUCGACAUGCCGCUCUUAUGCUACUCGCCGCCACACCCAGUGCCGUUGCUUGUUAGUGAUGGGCAUUGUUAUUUCUUGCACUUAGUGCCAUCACUCUUAGGAUUUGUGCGGACAGCUUUGUCUUGCUCUUUAGGUACUAUUUACACAAAAAAAUGACCAAGUUUUUGUAAUCAAUAGAUGUCGAUUUGAGUGAGUAGAAAGCUUGGUGUUAAGUUUGAUUUGGUUAUUAGUAACUUACCAAUAACAAAAAUACUUGUCAAUCACAUGAUGAUCAUUGAUGAAUGAAGAACACAAUCAUCAACAUAUAACAGUCAUCGAUCAUCGAUUAUCACUUAAUGAGUUGACUAAUUGUUGAACACAUAUGAAAUAAAAAAAGAAAAAGAAAAAAGAGGACAAAUUAGGGAUGCCAUUUGAAGACAAAGAUACCAAUUAAGGGUUAGGUCCAUUGGCAUUUGAGGAGUUGUAAUCACCUAGGUAAGGUUGAUGUAGAUAAUGGAGCCUAAAAAUAUGAAGAUGUAGUUGUAAUUUAUGAGCAAAUAUCCUUUGUAGUAGACUAUACAAAGCGGUGCGCAAUUGUUAUGACAAAAACCCAUUUAUUUUCUCAACUCAUCAAUUUUUAGCACUCGCAUUUCUUUUCUUUCAUAAUUAAUUGUUCUUGAUCCUUAUCACGCAAUUCAAUUCCUUUUUGAAUUGCCACCAAACCUGUUCAACCAAAAAAACCAAACAUCAGCUUCUAGUGAAAGGUAUUUUUGUUGAUUGUGACAGAUUUGGCUUUUGUAGAGAAAUAAAUAUUGAAUGCAACUUUUAUAGCCCAUGCAUUGCGUUUCAAAGUACUUUCUAAUUAAUUCUUGAGCUCAUAUGAUUCGCUAAGAUUGUAUAUGGUAUAUUUCUUUACCUUUAUUGAUUCAUCGAUUGCGACAUGUCCGGCUUUCCUAGCAGAACAGGUACUAGAUGCAAUUUUCAUAAUUCAUAUAUUGCAUUUUAGAAUAUUUUAUAAUAAAUUCUUGAGCCCAUUCAAUUCACUAACAUGGUAUAAAAAUAUACUUUUUACCUUUGUCCAGGAAAGCAAAUAGGGUUUCACAUACUUAUUAAAUCUAAUAAUCCAAUUAGCACCAAUAUACACAAUCUUAUGAAUACAAGAAAUAACAACACAUGUAAAAAUUAUUAAGUGCUAUAUUAUUUUAAGUGUACUAAAAAAUCAUUCAGCUAACUGAAUCGUGAGGAUGGCACGAAGCAGGGAAAGAGCAGAUUAUACCGCAAAUUGUUUUUUUUUCUUUUUUUGGGGGUCGUGCACGCCGCAAUUUAAGUGUUUAUUUAUUUAUUAUUUAUUAUUACAUAAAGAAAACAAAUCGACCGUCGAUUUUGUCAAGGGAGUGUCGACAUAUGUCGCGGGGAACCGUUUGGGACUUUGUUCGUGGCACGGGACUUCAAAGAUCCGAGGGCGGGUACCGGCUCGGAUGAGUUCAUGAUGUGUUCAUCCUCCAGCAACGCGAGUUUUGUCUCCGCGGGGCCCAUUUUGUUUUACGGUUUUGCCCUCGCACUCCCUCCGUAUUUCCCACGAGCUGCCACUGGAACUUGGAGAUGGAGAGAGCCUUUUUUUGGCAGAAUCUUUCUUCACUUCUCUCGCCUUGUCCUUCAUCGGUUUGGCAGUAAAAUUUUUAUUUUUAUAGUGCUUUCGAAGCAUUGUGUCGGAUAAUUCAUGCGACUAAUCGAGUGUUGAGUUUUUGUGAAUUAUUUAUAGGAAUCGCAUAAUUAGGUUAAGUUUGAUUUAAAUCAAAAAUGAUAUAAAGCUUGAUAGCCUCUCAUGUCGAAAUGGAGUUUUUUUUUGGAUCUGGAAAAGUACUAUUAAUUACAUUAAAAGUUCUUCGAAAGUGGCCCAAAAAGGGGCAUCAAAAUAUGUUAAUCUCCACAAAAGCUGUGGACUGAAUUAACCAAGAAAAUAAAAGAAUAUCUAAACGAUGGGCCUUGGCUACUUGAACAGUAACUUAAUUAGCCAUUUCAUUGUAACAUAUGAGGAUCGAUUGAAUAAAUUGAAAUAUCAAAUUAUAUUAUGAAUAUUAAUAUUUUCAUUUAUUUGGUUGAACCCGAUUGAUCGGGUCGAAGAAAAUAAAAUAGAGUUUCAUCCAAUAAAUAAUUCUAAGCAAUGACAAGAUCAUUUGAUUAGAAGUUAUCAUCAUCUCUCCCUCUAUAAAGGUUAUAUAUUCCGAAGAUAAACCUAUCAACGCUAGAGCAUGAAAAGUUCAAGCGGAGCACUCAACGUCUUCCUCACCUUAGCUGAUACGCUACUCUGUAGAAGGGGCAUUUCCGUAAAUCCACCCUUCGACAUUAUUCAGCUCCCCUCUCCUUACGUAAGGCCCCCCAAGACACCCCAAACCUAAAGCUCUCUCUCUCUCUCUCUCUCUCUCUCUCUCUGCAAAGUCUUUUGCCAAUGCCGGCGACGAGGACGACCUGACAGAGGAGGAGGAAGCAUGGCGAAGUUCUUUGGGGACGCGGCGUCGGUGCUGACGAAGGUGCUGAUGAGGAAGAGCGUGAGCCUGUUCGCCUAGUUCUCUUGCCUCUUCACCGACCUCGCCUCCGUCGUCGUGUCGGCUCUCCGGUUCUCCACCAUCAUGGCCAGGCAACCUUCUUCUUUCCCUCCUCAUCCUUCUCCGUCUUCCACUUCUGCUGCUGCUGCUUCCACCUCUGCUUCUUCCGCCAGAAGGUACUCUCCGAUCCUGAUGUCCAUGGCCAUCCGACAUCGUGUGUCCUGAGCUCGAUCGAUGCGGUUGAUUUCUUGCCCUCUUGUCUUUUGGGGUCGGUCUACGUGGGGGUCUUCGGAACUGCCCAUGAUUCGUUCGUAUGGCGAUGAGGGGAAUCUAUGCAAUUCUCUGGUUUCCCAGAUGCAAAAUGUUUGUUCUUCUUGAAGAUGGCGCGGUUCUUGCUGGGGCUGCUAUUUGGUACGCCAGUUUGUGUUUAUGAUUAUUGCUCGCGCUUGCGGAUCUAACAGAGGGACUCGACCAGUCCCGGAUCGUGAUUUCAAGCCGCUGGACGGGUUUGAGAUUUCAUUAUGUACAGGAUCCUGUAGGCUUGCGACCGAUCUGUGAUCUGUCUCGCAGAUGAUUAGGAAACUCGAAUUCAACGAGUCGUUUUACUCAAUUGUGUGAUGAGUUGCUUCAUGUAUCAGAAUAUGUAAUAAUCGAUAAUUACUGAUUUACUCCUUUUCCUUUUGACAAUGUAAACAAUGAUUUUUCCAAUCAUCGUGAUCGUCUGAAUUUAGGAAAUUAAGGUGGUUUUAUUAGAUUGUUGACACCCAAAAAUGGCAAAGUUUUGUGGAAUAGCCGACGAGCAGGGUUUGGUCGACAAGAACAAGAUUUGGUGUAAGAAUUAAGACAGUCGAGAAGAUCGGCAAGUCGAUGUCUAGCAUGAUCGACAAGAUUCUUCAUUGAGAAUUUAAGAAUUGAUUGAUAACAACAGACUCUAUUAGAUUUCGACCAAGUAUAAGAGGACAAUCGAUGAAUGGAGUGAAAAAAUGAUUGCUUUGCUAAUUAAAAGGCAAGGGUGGCAAAUUGACGUGAGUCUGUAACUAUUAGAUAGUGGAGUCGAUAAUUUAGGUAUUUGUAAAUUCUUACAGAUAAGUGUCGUUGAUCGAUGAAACCAUAUGUGAAUUUGUGACUAUUCAAUAACUAUGUAUAUGUAAAUGUUGAUGGUGGGUUAUAAACACUGUAUAUGUCGUAAAGGUUCACUCAAUCAAUCUUAGAACAUCCAAUAUUUUUUUUUCUGUAAUCCUUUAAUUUGUAGCUUUAUUUACAUUGCUAGCAACUAUUGUUCCUGGUAUUCUUACCAUUAAGUUCCUAGCUGUUUACUUUCCUGUCUAAAAUCAAUAUAAAAAAAAAAUUAAGCCGUCUAUCAAUUCAUUCAAAUUCAUUGUACUUAAGGAUUUUUCACUUUUUUGGCAAAACAGAUGAAAGUGCAGAACUCGUCUGUUACGAUUUAGCUACUAGUCAACUGAGUCUUUAACUUUUUAAAAAAGUUCAAUUGAGUGAUAAAGUUGUCGCCAAUAGAUUUAUAAUGUUGGAAACUCAAGGUGGCUCUCAAGCUCAUUUGUGGCCAAGUGUUAUUAAUGAAAACUCAUUUGUGGCCAAGUGGUAUUAAUGAAAGCUCAAGUUGGAGAGAUGUAAGAUAUCUAGUGUCGAAACCCCAUUGAUAGUGAGUCGAGGAUUUGAUUAUACAUAACAUUAAGUACUUAUUCUCACUUCUUCCCUUGAAGCAAAUGGAUUCCGUGAUAAACCUUGCAUCCGAGCCUUUGCUUGCUGAGAAAAAGGAAGUCUAGUGCACUUGCCAAAUAAAUAGGUUGGAGAAAGGCUACUCUGAUGACAACUCGUUUCACUGAGGUCCAUAUUAUUGUAAUUCGUAUAUAGUGUCUCCUAACAUACAAUAACUCAGAAAAUUAACGAUCACGAGUGAGCGUCGGUUCUUAUAUGAUGCAAUGCUUACCAAUUCCCUGAGAACUUUAAGGGCAACUCGAGAGAGGAUACAAGCUCUCCCCCAAAUAGUUUGGUUUCUUGAAGUAAACCCUAACCAAACUUCUUUUGACGAAACAGCACAAGAAAAGGCCACCAAACAGAUGCAAUGUGAAACGAAAACGGCUACUUCCUAAAAAAAGUCAACAUUAUAUAUGUGCCCACCUGUACACAUUUGAUUCAAAACCCUCGUCUACAAUCUCUGAUUUCCGUCGGUUUGAUGGGUAGUUGGAUUUGAUGCCGUGCCGCUUUCCGACACUUUAGUAACAAGCUAUUUCCUUCUUCUAGUUCACUCUAAUUAUAGAGAAAUUGUCACCCCCUCCCUCUCUCAAUUUUAAGUUUUGGCCUUUUUCGUCCUUUUAACUUUUGGAGGGGAGGGAUUUGACCUAAAUCUCUCCCUCCCCUCUCAAUUGCUUUUCCUUUUAUUUUCUCUUAUUUCUUUCCUUACUCUCCCAAUCUUAGGUUUGAGAGACUCUAAUCUAAUUUUAGAUUUAAGAGUUUUAAUGAAUGAGUACUUCACCUCUAGUUUCAAUGGUGUUCACAGUAGUUUCGGUGUCAAAUUUGUACUCGUUCAACUUUGGAUAGCUCGCUUUCACAGGUCUUAUAUUGUAGGAGGCCCGUGUCACCAACCAAAACGGACAAAACAUGUACAGCCUUAGAUAGAAAUUUAAAAAAAAAUCACUUUUUAAAAAAAAAAAUGUGUCCAACCAUUCUUUCUUGAAUUUAACACAUAUUGGCACGCCAAUUCUCGUUCGUUUGAUUUUAAUUAUGCAUUUUUAACUUAUUUAUACUUUUUCAGUAAGAAAAACUCAUUCAUGUUUUAUUAAUGUGUUUCGAGUAUAAAUAAUGUAUUUUCUAUUGCUCAUAUUUCAUAUUACAUAUAUUGCAAUACAUGUUUUUAUUUUUAAAAAUGACUUCAGGCCAAUCCAGGUUAUUUCUGGCUUGAAAAUCUCGGGCCUAAAGGCCCAAACCCGCUCAGAUGGAAAAAGUAUAUAUGAUAAACUCGAAAUUCUAGCCAUGGCAUCAGCCUCCAAAUUCAGGCUAGUCUACGCUUUCGGGCUUCAACUCUUUCUUCUUCCCUUCUUUUCAGCUGGGAUUUAUUUUUAGUUCAAUUUUUUUUGCGAAAGUGGGAAUGCAGACUAAAGAUAAAGAUUCCAAUUAAGGGUCAAAUCUGGUGAUGCUUAAGGAGUUGUAACUGCUUGUUGAUAAGGUUGAUAUGCGAUUGUAGAGCCUAAAAAUAUGAAGAUGUGGUUGUAAUCAUCAAUUAAAAUAUGAACUACUUAUAAGGAGUUAUACUUUUUAGUAACCUAUACAAAGCUGUGUGUAAUUGUUACGAGGACAUAACUACCAUCACAAUAACUUAUUUAUUUUCACAAUUUAUCAAUACUCACAUUUCAUUCCCUUGAAAAUUUAAUUAUUCUCGAUCAUUAUUAUGCAAUUCAAUUUUUGUUUGAAUCACCGCUAGACCUAUUCAAUAAAAAACGAAGAUCAACUUUUGUGAAAUGUAUUUCACCAAUUUGGACGGCUCUCAAUUUCUAGUGAAACAGAUAUCUAGUGCUAACUUCCAUAAACUAGGCAUUGUGUUUUCUAGAAUAUUUCAUAAUAAAAUUCUUUGAUCCCGUCCGAUUCACUAAGAUACCGGGAAAAGUAAAUAGUGUUUCACAAAAUUUUGGAUUUGAUAAUAGAAUUGGUACAAUAUUUACAAUCUCAUGAAUAUAAAAAAAAUAAAUUACUCAUGAUGAAUUAUUAGAUCCAAAAGUAAUAAAGAAUUAAGUGUACUAAUUUGUCAAAAAAAGUGUACUAAACAAUUAUUCAGUUAAUUAAAUCGUGAUGAUGGCAUAAGCUAAAGUAGGCUACACUGAGAUUAAAUGCUCCUUUUCUUCUUCUUUUUCUUUUUCUUUUUUCUAUUAUUAUUUUCAAUAAAAACAAGUUUACCGUCCAUUCUGUCAUGGGGGUGUCGACAUAUUUCGGGGGAAAGCUUUGGACUUUGCACGGGGCGACGGGGUUUGAAAAGAUCAAGGGUCGUGUCCGCUCGGGAUGAGUUCAUGAUGUCUUCAUUCUGCAGCGCCUGAUCUUGUCUCCCCUGGGCCCCUCUUUUACGGUUUUGCCCUUACUCGCUCUGUAUCUCCCACGAGCUGCCACUGGAAACUAAUAUGAAAGAGUGCUUUUAAAAAAAAAGAAGCAGAAAAUAUAAGUACACUUAAAAAAUUCAAAAAAUUUAAAAAAUUUAAUGACUUAAUUACACUUUUUAAAAAUUUUCAGAUUUUGUUACACUUUUGUUAUAAAUUUAAAAAUAGCAGAAGAAGAAAGGAUAAGUGCACUUAAAAUCCUAUAAUUCGUCUUGAAAGUGCAAUCGAAUUCUAAAAAAUUACUAAGUACAAUCAAAUUUAAAAAAAAAAUUAAAAAAUGUAAUCAACAAAACGACUUAAUUUGAUCAAACAAAUUCUAAGACUUAAUUGCACUUUUUAAAUUUUUUCAAACUUAAUUACACUUUUGUGAUAACUUUAUGACUUGAUUGCACAUUUUAAAAGUCUUAUAAAUUUUGUGAUAAAUUUUAAGAUUUUCAUUGCACUUAUAAUAUAUAUAUAUAUAUAUAUAUAUAUAUAUAUAUAUAUAUAUAUAUAUAUAUAUAAAUUGUUUCUCUUGCCUUGCCCUCCAUUGGCAUAGCUGCAAAAAAUUUUAAGUGUCGUUGAAGAUUGAUUAAGCAUAUGUUUUUUUGAAUUAUCUAAUAUUUUUCAUUUGAAGGGACAUGUUCAGGUCGAGUUUAAUGUAAAUUAAAAAUGAUAAAAGAGUUUCGAGAACACUUAAAAGAGUUUUAGUUAGCUUGAUUUUAAUAUAUGACCUUUUACUGAACAAGAGAUGGAUAAAUUUAUUUGGAAUCCAAGGGAAUACUGGCUGUUGCAUACCACAAACAAUGGACCCUAUUUUUUUCCUUUUUCUUUUUGCCGGACUUGAUUAAUUGAGUCGAAGAAAUCAAAUAGGGUUUUAUCCAAUAAAUAAUUCUAGCAUUAUAGCUAAAAAAAAAUCUUGACUAAUAUUAGACACACAUAAACUUUUCGAAUUGUAUGAUAAGAACUUUAGAAAGUAAGGCCAGCCUUCAUUUCAAAGUUAUCAUCUCUCCCUCUAUAAAGGUUGUAUUCCUUGGAUAAGCUAUCAAUAACAAUAAAGCAUAAAAAAGUUUUAGCGUAGGAAUGUUUUGCAAAAGAUGAUAUUUCACUUUCAUUUGUCACUAGAGGAGCACACCACAUCUAGUUUGACAAAAGGGCAUUUCGGUAAAUCCACCUCGAACCUAAAUCAGCCUGUUCGCCGAGUUCUCUUGCCUGUUCACAUGGCUGUCCUGUCAAAUAAAGUGCCACGUCAUCAUGUUUUGCUGACUUGGCUUGUCCACUCACCGAAAAUUUUCAUUUAUGUCUCAUAUCUGCAAUGUACAAUUCAUUCAUCAUUCAACAGCCCGUUAAGUGCAAGGCGGCGUGGGGUUUGUGACAUGGGAAGGGGAAUCAACUGCAAUUCUAAAAGCCCAUUUUGGCGGCCUGUGUGCUGCAUCAUCAUCCUUGCAAAACCAUGGCCUUAAAAUUGAACCUAUACUCGUCUUGUCCAUAGCAUUUCCACAAAUUUGGGAUUACAAACUCAAUUCAAUAAUGGACUUUAAUGAACUUCCCAUUUCUCCUUCCAUGCUUUUUGUUCGACAUGAUGCUCUUACGCUACUUGCCGCCACGCCCGGUGUCGUCACUUAUUAGCGAGCCAUCACUCUUGGGAUAUGUGCUGAUAGCUUUGUCUCAUCCUUUAGGUACUAUUUACACAAAAAAAUGACCAAGUCUUUGUAAUCAACAAACGCUGAUUUGAGUGAGUAGAAAGCUUGGUGUUAAGUUUGAUUUGGUUAUAUAUAACUUACCGAUAACAAAAAUACUUGUCGAUCACAUGAUGAUCAUUGAUGACUGAAAAACACGAUCAUCAACAUACAACAGUCAUCGAUAAGCGAUUAUCACUUAAUGACUUGACUAAUUGUUGAACAUAUAGGAAAUAAAAAAAGAAAAAGAAAAAAAGAGGACAAAUUAGGGAUGCCAUUUGAAGACAAAGAUACCAAUUAAAGGUUAGGUCCAUUGGCAUUUGAGGGGUUGUAAUCACCUAGGUAAGGUUGAUGUAGAUAAUGGAACCUAAAAAUAUGAAGAUGCAGUUGUAAUUUAUGAGCAAAUAUACUUUGUAGUAUACUAUGUAAAGCGGUGCGCAAUUGUUAUGACAAAAACCCAUUUAUUUUCUCAACUCAUCAAUUUUCAAUACUCGCAUUUAUUUUCCUUCAUAUUUAAUUGUUCUUGAUCUUUGUUACACAAUUCAAUUCCUUUUUGAAUUGCCACCAAACUCGUUCAACCAAAAAACCAAACAUCGGCUUCUGGUGAAAGGUAUUUUCAUUGAUUGCGAUAGAUCUGGCUUUUUUAACAAAACAAAUAUUGAAUGCAACUUUCAUAAAUCAGGCAUUGCGUUUUUAAGGUACUUUCUAAUAAAUUCUUGAGCCCAUAUGCUUUGCUAAGAUUGUAUGAUGGCAUAUUUCUUUACCUUCAUUGAUUCAUCGAGGCAUGUCCGGCUUUCCUAGCAGAACAAGAACAAUUCAUACAUUGCGUUUUAGAAUACUUUCUAAUAAAUUUUUGAGUCCAUCCGAUUCGCUAACAUAGUAUAAUGAUAUACUUUUUACCUUUGUCCAGGAAUGCAAAUAGGGUUUCACAUACUUAUUAAAUCUAAUAUUCCAAUUAACACCAAUUUACUUAAUAAGUGCUAUUUUAUUUAGUACACUUAAUAAAUAAUUAACUGUACUAAAAAAUCAUUCAGCUAACUGAAUCGUGAGGACUUUGCUCAAAAAAAAAAAAAAAAAACUGAAUCGUGAGGACGGCACGAGCCAGGGAAGGGCAGGCCAUACCACAAAUUGUUUUUUUUUUUUUUUUUUUUGGGUCGUGCACGCCGCAAUUUAAGUGUUCUUUUUGUUUUUAUAUAUUAUUAAGUAAAGAAAACAAAUCGACCGUCGAUUUUGUCAUGGGAGUGUCGACAUAUGUCGCGGGGAACCGUUUGGACUUUGUUCGUGGCACGGGACUUCAAAGAUCCGAGGGCGGGUACCUGCUCGGAUGAGUUCAUGAUGUCUUCAUCCUCCAGCAACCUGAGUUUUGUCUCCGCGGGGCCCAUUUUGUUUUACGGUUUUGCCCUCGCACUCCCUCCGUAUUUCCCACGAGCUGCCACUGGAACUUGGAGAUGGAGAGCGUUUUUAUGGCAGAAUCUUUCUUCACUCCUCUCGCCUUGUCCUUCAUCGGUUUGGCAGUAAAAUUUUUAUUUUUAUAGUGCUUUCGAAGCAUUGUGUCGGAUCAUUCAUGCGAUUAAUCGGGUGUUAGUUUCUGUGAAUUAUUUAUAGGAAACACACAAUUAGGUUAAGUUUGAUUUAAAUGAAAAAUGGUAUAAAGUUUCGAGGAGAGGCUUGAUAGCCUCUCGUGUCGAAAUGAAGGAGAUUUUUUUGUUUUUUGUUUUUUGGAUCUAGAAAAGUACUAUUAAUUAUCAUCAAAAGUUCUUCGACAGUAGCCCAAAAAAGGGGCAUCAAAACAUGGUAAGAUCCACAAAAGUUAUGGACUAAAUUAACCAAGAAAAUAAAAGAGUAUCUAGACGAUGAACCAUGGCUACUUAAUCGAGGUAUCAAUGAAUAAAUUGGAAUAUGGAAUUAUACUAUGAAUAUUACUAUUUUCAUUUUUUUGACUGAAUCGAUUGACAGAAUUGAAGAAAACAAAAUAGAGUUUUCAUUCAAUAAAUAAGUCUAAGCAUGACAAGAACAUUUGAUUAGAAGUUAUCAUCAUCAUCUCUGCCUCUAUAAAGGUUAUAUAUUCUGAAGAUAAACCUAUCAACGGUAGAGCAUGAAAAGUUCAAGCGGAGCACUCAACGUCUCCCUCACCUUAGCUGAUACACUUCUUUGUAGAAGGCGCAUUUCCGUAAAUCCACCCUUCGACAUUAUUCAGCUCCCCUCUCCUUACGUAAAGCCUCCCAAGACGCUGUCCAAUCCAACCCCAAACCAAACCUAGAGCUUCUCUCUCUCUCUCUCUCUCUCUCUCCUCAAAGUCUUUUGCCAAUGCCGGCGACGAGGACGGCCUGACAGAGGAGGAGGAAGCAUGGCGAAGUUCUUUGGGGACGCGGCGUCGGUGCUGAUGAAGGUGCUGAUGAGGAAGAGCAUCAGCCUGUACGCCGAGUUCUCUUACCUCUUCACCGACCUCGCCUCCCUCGUCGUGUCGGCUCUCCGGUUCUCCACCAUCAUGGCCAGGCAACCUUCUUCUUUCCCUCCUCAUCCUUCUCCAUCUUCCACUUCUCCUUCUGCUGCUUCCGCCUCUACUUCUUCUGCCAUAAGGUACUCGCCGAUCCUGAUGUCCAUGGCCAUCCGACACCGUGUGUCCUGAGCUCGAUCGAUGCGGUUGACAUUGUGCUGCUGGAUCUUCCUUUUCUUGCCCUCUUGUCUUUUGGGGUUGGCUUACGUGGGGUGUUCGGAACUUGCCCAUGAUUCGUUCGUAUGGCGAUGAGGGGAAUCUAUGCACGUCUCUGAUUUCCCAGGCGCAAAAUGUUUGUUCUUCUUGAUGGGGCUGCUAUUUGGGACGCCGGUUUGUGUUUAUGAUUAUCGCUUGCGCUUGCGGAUCUAACGGAGGGACUCGACCGGUCGCGUAUCGCGAUUUCGAGCCGCGGGACGGGUUUGAGAUUUCGUUAUGUAUGGGUUCCUGUAGGCUUGCGACCGAUCUGCGAUCUGUCUCGCAGAUGAUUAGGAAACUCGAAUUCAACGAGUCAUUUCGCUCGAUUGUGUGAUAAAUCGCUUCAUGUAUCAGAACAUGUAAUAAUCGAUAAUUACUAAUUUACUCCUUUUCCUUUUCACAAUCUGAACAAUGGUUUUUCCAAUCAUCGUGAUUGUCUGAAUUUAGGAAAGUAAGGUGGUUUUAUUAGAUCAGGUUGUUGACACCCAAAAAUGGCAAAGUGUUGCGAGAUAGCCGAUGAGCAGGGUUCGGUCGAGAAGAACAGAUUUGAUCUGAGAAUUAGGGCAGUCGAGAAGAUCGGCAAGUCGAUGUCUAGCACAAUCAACAAGAUUCUUCAUUGAGGAUUUAAGAAUUGAUCGAUAACAACAGGCUCUAUUAGAUUUUGACCAAGUAUAAGAAGACAAUCGAUGAACGGAGUGAAAAAAUGAUUGCUUUGCUAAUUAAAAGGCAGGGGUGGCAAAUUGACAUGAGUCUAUAACUGUCAAAUGGUGAAGUCGAUAAUUUAGGUAUUUGUAACUUCUUAUAGAUAAUUGUUGUUGAUUAAUGAAACUAUGUGUGAAUUUGUGAUUAUUCAAUAACUGUGUAUAUGUAAAUGUCGAUGGUGGGUUAUAAACACUUUCGGUGUAUAUGUUGUAAAUGUUCACUCAGUCAAUCUUAGAACAUCCAAUGUUCUUUAUUUUCCGUAAUCCUUUACUUUGUAGCAUUAUUUACAUUGCUGGCAACUAUUGUUCCUGGUAUUCUUACCAUUAAGUUUCCAGCCAUUUACUUUCCUGUCUAAAAUCAAUAAAAAUGCCUUCACAACCAUUUAUCAAUUCAUUCAAAUCCAUCAUACUUAAAGAUUUUUCACUUUUCUGGCAAAACUGAUGAAAGUGCAAAACUUGUCUUUUAAGAUUUAGCUACUAAUCAACUGAGUCUUUAAUGUUUUAAAAAAUGUUCAAUCAAGUGAUAAACUAGUCGCCAAUAGAUUUAUAAUGUUGGAAACUCGAUGUGGCUUUCAAGGUCAUUUGUGGCCAAGUGGUAUUAAUGAAAGCUUGAGUUAGAGACAUAUAAGAUAUCCAGUGUCGAAACCCCAUUAAUAAUGAGUUUAGGAUUUGAUUAUACAUAACAUUAAGUACUUAUUCUCACUUAUUCCCUAGAAGCAAAUGGAUUCCAUGAUAAACCUUGCAUCCGAGCCUUUGCUUGCCGGAGGAAAGGAAGUCCAGUGCACUUGCCAAAUAUAUAGGUUGGAGGAAGGCUACUCUGAUGACAACUUGUUUCACUAAGGUCCAUAUUGUCGUAAUUCGUAUGUAGUGUCUCGUAACAUACAAUAACUCAGAAAGUUAAAGAUCGUGAGUGAGCUUCGGUUCUUAUAUGAUGCAAUGCCAAUCAAUUCCCUGAGAAAUUUAGGAGCAACUCGAGCAAGGAUACAAGCUCUCGCCCAAAUAAUUUGGUUUCUUGAAGUAAACCCUAACCAAACUUCUUAUGACGAAACAGCACAAGAAAGGGCCACCAAACAGAUGCAAGGUGAAACGUAAACGGCUGCUUCCUAUAAAAUGUCAACAUUAUGUCCGUGCCCACCUGUAUACAUUUGAUUCAAAACCCUCGUCUACAAUCUCCGAUUUCCGUCGGUCUGAUGGGUAGUCGGAUUUGAUACCGUGCCACUUUCCGAUACUUCCAGCAAGCAAGCUAUUACCAUAUUCUAGUUCACUCUAAUUACAGAGAACUUGUCACCCCCUCUCCCUCCCUCUCUCCCUCUCUCCUUCUUUUAAGUUUUGGCCUUUUUUCGUCUUUCUAACUUUUGGAGGGGAGGGAUUUGACCUAAAUCUCUCCCUCCCCUCUUUAUUGCUUUUCCUUUUAUUUUCUCUUAUUUCUUUCCGUACUCUUCCAAUCUAGAUUUAGGUUUGGGAUUUUGAUCUCCCAAUCUUAGGUUUGAGAGUUUUUCUCUCUAAUUUAAUUUUAGACUUAAGAGUUUUAAUAAACGAGUACUUUACCUCCAAUCUCAAUGGUGUUCAUAGUGGUUUCGAUGUCAAAUUUGUAGUCGUUUAACUUUGGAUAGCUCGCUUUCACAGGUCUUAUAUUAUAGGAGGCCCAUGUCACCAACUAAAACGGACAAAACAUGUACAGCCUUCGAAAUUUAAAAAAAAUCACUUUGUUUUUUAAAUAUGUGUCCAACCAUUCUUUCUUGAAUUUAACGCAUAUUGACACGCCAAUUCUCGUUCGUUUGAUUUUAAUUACGCAUUUUAAACUUAUUUAUACUUUUUCAGUAAGAAAAACUCAUUCAUGUUUUAUAAAAGUGUUUCGAGUAUAAAUAAUGUAUUUUCUAUUACUCAUUUCAUAUUACAUAUAUUGUAAUACAUGUUUUUAUUUUUAAAAAUGACUUCAGGCCAAACCAGGCUAUUUCUGGCUUGAAAAUCUCGGGCCCGAAGGCCCAAACCCGCUCGGAUGGAAAAAGUAUUUAUGAUAAACUCGAAAUUCUAGCCAUGGCAUUAGCCUCCAAAAUCAGGCUAGUCUACGCUUUCGGGCUUCGGCUCUUUCUUCUUCCCUUCUUUUGAGCUGGGAUUUAUUUUUAGUUUAAUUUUUUUGCGAAAAUUUGGGUGUGUUUUGACAAAACUACCCUUGAUUUGCUUAAUAAUGGGUACCUUGAUAAUUCGUUCAAUUAAGUAUCCUUCCAUUAUAUGGCUCAACGUGGCCCCUUUUGACAAAUAAAGUACCACGUCAUCAAGCUUUUGCUGACUUGGCUUGUCCACUCACCGAAAAAAACUGCAUUUUUGCUCUGUUUCUUAUGUCUAAUGUUCAAUUCACUCAUCAGUCAACAACCUGUUCAAUGCGCCGGGGACCGUGUUUGUGAUGUAGCCUUUGUGCCGCAUCAUUGUCCCGGCAAAACCAUGACCUUAAAAUUGAACCUGUGCUCGUCUUGUUCAUUGCAUUUCCAUAAAUUGGGAUUACAAACUUACUUCGAAAAUGAAUUUUAAUAAACUUCCAUAUUUCCUUCCGUGCUUUUUGUUCGACAUGCAACCCUAAUGCUACUUGCUGCCAUGCCAGGUGUCGUCACUUGUCUAGCGAUGGGCGCUGCACUGUCAUUUGUUGCACCUGGUUCCAUUGAUCCUAGCAUAUGUGCCGACACCUCUCUUCCUCUUUAGGUAUUGUUCACAAAAAAAAAAAAAGGACAAUUUUUGUAAUUAACAUGGUGUCGAUUUGAGUGAGUAUAAAACUCGGUGUUAAAUUCAACUUGGUUAUCAGUAAUUUGCCAAUAACAAAAAUAGUUGUUGAUCACAUGAUAAUUAUGGAUGACUAAGGAAUACAUAUGUCGACAUACGAUAGUGUGAUUGGUCAACAAUUAUCACUUAAUGGAUUGGGUAGGUGUUGAAUAUAGAGGAAAGGAAGAAAGACGACCAAGUGGGAAUGCGGAUUGAAGAUAAAGAUACCAAUUAAGGUUCAAGCCUGAUGACGCUUAAAGAGUUGUAACUGCUUGUUGGUAAGGUUGAUGUGCAAUUAUAGAGCCUAAAAAUACGAAGAUGUGGUUGCAAUCAUCAAUUAAAAUAUGAACUACUUACAAGCGGUUAUACUUUGUAGUAGGCUAUACAAAGCCAUGUGUAAUUGUUAUGAGGACAUAACUACCAUCACAAUAACUUAUUUACUUUCAUAAUUUAUCAAUACUCACACUUCAUUUUCUUGAAAAUUUAAUUAUUCUCAAUCAUUAUUAUGCAAUUCAAUUUUUGUCGGAGUCACCGCUAGACCCGUUCAAUAAAAAACGAAGGUCAACCUUUGUGAAAUGUAUUUCACUAAUUUGGACAUCUAGGCAUUGCAUUUUCUAGAAAAUUUCAUAAUAAAAUUUUUUGAUCCCAUCCGAUUCGCUGAGACACCGGGAAAAGCAAAUAGUGGUUCACAAAAUUUCGGAUCUAAUAAUCAAAUCGGUACAAUAUGUACAAUCUUAUGAAUAUAAAAAAUAAAUAAAUUACUCAUGAUGAAUUAUUAGAUCCAAAAGUAAUAAAGAAUUAAGUGUACUAAUUUGACAAAAAAAGUGUACUAAACAAUUAUUCAGUUAAUUAAAUCGUGAUGAUGGCAUAGGCUGAAGUAGGCCCCAGUGAGAUUAUUCAGUGUACUAAAAAAAGUGUUCUUUUUUUCUAUUAUUAUUUUCAAUAAAAACAAGUUGACCGUCCAUUCUGUCAUGGGGGUGUCGACAUAUUUGGAGGGGCAGCUUUGGACUUUGCUCGGGGCGACGGGGUUUGAAAAGAUCGAGGGUCGUGUCCGCUCGGGAUGAGUUCACGAUGGCUUCAUUCUGCAGCGCCUGAUCUUGUCUCCGCCGGGCCCGUCUUUUAUGGUUUUGCCCUUACUCGCUCUGUAUCCCCCACGAACUGCCACUAGAACUCAAUACGAGAGAGUGCUUUAAGAAAACAAAAAAAAGAGAAAGAAGGGAUAAAGUGCACUAUAAAUCUUUUAACAUGUCUUGAAAGUGCAAAAAAAUCGUAAAAAUUUUAAAAAGUACAAUCGAAAUUUAAAACUUUCAACAAAUGCAAUAAGCAAAAUGACUUGAUUUUAUCAAUUUAAGAUUGCAUUUUUUUUUAAAUUUUAGACACAAUUACACUUUUGUGAUAAAUUUUAAGAUUUGAUUGUACAUUUUAAAAAUCUUAUAACUUUUGUGAUAAAUUUUAAGAUUUUCAAUACAUUUAUAUAAUAUAUAUAUAAAUUCUUGCUCUUGCCUUGCCCCCCAUUGGUCUAGCUGCAAAAAAUUUUAAGCACCAUCGAAGGUUGAUCAAGCAUCUGUUUUUGCGAAUUAUUUAUUUUUUUCAUUUGAAGGGGCACGACAAUGUUUAAAAGAGCUUUAGUUAGCUUGAUUUUGAUAUAUGACCUUUUACUAACAAGAGACGGAUGAAUUUAUUUGGAAUCCAAGAUAAUACCGGCUGUUGCAUACCACAAACAAAGGAACCUCUUUUUCUCUUUGCCGGACUUGAUUAAUCGAGAAGAAAUCAAUUAGGGUUUUCUCCAAUAAAUAAUUCUAGCGUUAUAGUUUAAAAAAAAAAAAAAAAUCUUGACUAAUAUUAGACACACAUGAACUUUUCGAAUUGUAUGAUAGGAACUUUACAAAGUAAGGCCAGCCUUCGUUUCAAAGUUAUCAUCUCUCCCUCUAUAAAGGUUGUAUUCCUUGGAUAAGCUAUCAACAACAAUAAAGCAUAAAAAGUUUAAGCGGAGGAACAUUUUGCAAAAGAGCAUAUUUCACUAUCUUUUCACGUGCCACUAGAGGAGCACCCCACAUCUAGUUUGACAAAAGGGCAUUUUGAUAAAUCCACCCCAAACCUAAAUCGGCCCGUUCGCCGAGUUCUCUUGCCUGUUCACAUGGCCGUCCUGUCAAAUAAAGUGCCACGUCAUCAUGUUUUGCUGACUUGGCUUGUCCACUCACCGAAAAUUCUUCAUUUAUGUCUCAUAUUGUAAUGUUCAAUUCAUUCAUCAUUCAACAGCCCGUCAAAUGCAGGGAGGCGUGGGGUCUAAGACAUGGAAGGGGAAUCGACUGCAAUUCUAAAAGUCCAUUUUGGUGGCCUGGGUGCUGCAUCAUCAUCCUUGCAAAACCAUGGCCUUAAAAUUGAACCGAUGCUCGUUUUGUCCAUAGCAUUUCCACAAAUUUGGGAUUACAAACUCAAUUCAAGAAUGGACUUUAGUGAACUUCACAUUUCUCCUUCCAUGCUUUUUGUUCGACAUGCCGCUCUUACGCUACUCGCCGCCACGCCGGGUAUUGUCACUCGUUAGCGAUGGGCGUUGUUAUUUGUUGCACUUAGUGCCAUCACUCUUGGGAUAUGUGCUGACAGCUUUGUCUCGCUCUUUAGAUAUUGUUUACACAAAAAAAUGACCAGGUCCUUGUAAUCAACAAAUGCUGAUUUGAGUGAGUAGAAAGCUUGGUGUUAAGUUUGAUUUGGUUAUUUGUAACUUACCGAUAACAAAAAUACUUGUCAAUCACAUGAAGAUCAUUGAUGACCAAAGAACACACUCAUCAACAUACAAUAAUCAUCGAUCAUUGAUUAUCACUUAAUGAGUUGACUAAUUGUUGAACACAUAGGAAAUAAAAAAAGAAAAAGAAAAAGAAAAGGACAAAUUAGGGAUGCCGUUUGAAAACAAAGAUACCAAUUAAGGGUUAGGUCCAUUGGCAUUUGGGGAGUUGUAAUCACCUAGGUAAGGUUGAUAUAGAUAAUGAAGCCUAAAAAUAUGAAGAUGUAGUUGUAAUUUAUGAGCAAAUAUACUUUGUAGUAGACUAUAUAAAGCAGUGCGUAGUUGUAAUGACAAAAACCCAUUUAUUUUCUCAGCUCAUCAAUUUUCAGUACUCGCAUUUCUUUUCCUUCAUAUUUAAUUGUUCCUUAUCUUUGUUACACAAUUCAAUUCUUUUUUGAAUCGCCACCAAACCCAUUCAACAAAAAACCAAAUAUUAGCUUCUGGUGAAAGGUAUUUUCAUUGAUUACGACAGAUCUGACUGUUGUAGCGAAACAAAUAUUGAAUGCAACUUUCAUAGCUCGUGCAUUGCGUUUUAAGAUACUUUCUAAUAAAUUCUUGAGCCCAUAUGAUUCACUAAUAUUGUAUAAUGGUAUAUUUCUUUACCUUCAUUGAUUCAUUGAUUGUGACACGUCCGGCUUUCCUAGCAAAAUAGGUACAAUUCAUACAUUGCAUUUCAGAAUAUUUUCUAAUAAAUUCUUGGGCCCAUCUGAUUCGCUAACAUAGUAUAAUGAUAUACUUUUUACCUUUGUCCAGGAAAGCAAAUAGGGUUUCACAUACUUAUUAAAUCUAAUAAUCCAAUUAACACCAAUAUACACAAACUUAUGAAUACAAGAAAUAACAACACAUGUAAAAAUUUAUUAAGUGCUAUUUUAAGGAAUUGGAACUUGAAGAUGAGGGCCUUUUUUUGGCAGAAUCUUUCUUCACUCCUCUCGCCUUGUCCUCAUCGGUUUGGCAGUAAUUUUUUUUUUUUAUAGUGCUUUCGAAGCAUUGUGUCGGAUAAUUCAUGCGAUUAAUCGGGUUUUGAUUUUUGUGAAUUAUUUAUAGGAAACACAUCAUUAAGUUAAGUUCGACUUAAAUUGAAAAUGAUACAAAAUUUUGAGGAGACUUGAUAAACUCUUUUGUUGAAAUGAAGGAACUUUUUUUUUUUUUUUGGAUCUGGAAAACUACCAUUGAUUAUCAUCAAAAGUUCUUCGACAGUAGCCCAAAAAAGGGGCAUCAAAACAUGGUAAGAUUCACAAAAGUUGUGAACCGAAUUAAUCAAGAAAAUAAAAGAGUAUCUAAAUGGUGGGCCUUGGCUACUUAAUCGGUAACUUGAUUAGUCAUUCAAUUGUAACAUAUCAUGUAUCGAUGAAUAAAUUGGAAUAAGAAAUUAUACUAAGAAUAUUACUAUUUUCAUUUUUUUGAUUGAAUUGAUUGAUCGGAUCGAAGAAAACAAAAUAGAGUUUUCAUUCAAUAAAUAAUUCUAAGCACGACAAGAACAUUUGAUUAGAAGUUAUCAUCAUUAUCUCUCCCUCGAUAAAGGUUAUAUAUUCCGAAGAUAAACCUAUCAACGGUAGAGCAUGAAAAGUUCAAGCGGAGCACUCAACGUCUCCCUCACCUUAGCUGAUACACUUCUUUGUAGAAGGGGCAUUUCCGUAAAUCCACCCUUCGACAUUAUUCAGCUCCCCUCUCCUUACGUAAGCCCCCCCGAGACACUGUCCAAUCCAACCCCAAACCUAGAGCUUCUCUCUCUCUUUCUCUCUCUCCUCAAAGUCUUUUGCCAAUGCCGGCGACGAGGACGACCUGACAGAGGAGGAGGAAGCAUGGCGAAGUUCUUUGGGGACGCGGCGUCGGUGCUGAUGAAGGUGCUGAUGAGGAAGAGCAUCAGCCUGUACGCCGAGUUCUCUUACCUCUUCACCGACCUCGCCUCCCUCGUCGUGUCGGCUCUCCGGUUCUCCACCAUCAUGGCCAGGCAACCUUCUUCUUUCCCUCCUCAUCCUUCUCCAUCUUCCACUUCUCCUUCUGCUGCUUCCGCCUCUACUUCUUCUGCCAUAAGGUACUCGCCGAUCCUGAUGUCCAUGGCCAUCCGACAUCGUGUGUCCUGAGCUCGAUCGAUGCGGUUGACAUUGGGCUGCUGGAUCUUCCUUUUCUUGCCCUCUUGUCUUUUGGGGUUAGCUUACGUGGGGUGUUUGGAACUUGCCCAUGAUUCGUUCGUAUGGCGAUGAGGGGAAUCUACGCAAGUCUCUGGUUUCCCAGGUGCAAAAUGUUUGUUCUUCUUGAUGAUGGUGUGGUUCUUGUCGAGGCUGCUAUUUGGUACGCCGGUUUGUGUUUUUGAUUAUCGCUUGCGCUUGCGGAUCUAACGGAGGGACUCGACCCGUCCCGGAUCGCGAUUUCCAGCCGCCGGACGGGUUUGAGAUUUCGUUAUGUACAGGAUCCUGUAGGCUUGCGACCGAUCUGCGAUCUGUCUCGCAGAUGAUUAGGAAACUCGAAUACAACGAGUCGUUUUACUCGCUUGUGUGAUGAGUCACUCCAUGUAUCAGAACAUGUAAUAAUCAAUAAUUACUAAUUUACUCUUUUUCUUUUUGACAAUGUCCACAAAGGUUUUUCCAAUCAUCGCGAUUGUCUGAAUUUAUGAAAUUAAGGUGGUUUUAUUAGAUUGUUGACACCCAAAAAUGGCAAAGUGUUAGCCGACGAGCAGUGUUUGGUCGACAAGAGCAAGAUUUGGUGUAAGAAUUAAGGCAGUUGAGAAGAUCGGCAAGUCGAUGUCCAGCACAAUCGACAAGAUUCUUCAUUGAGAAUUUAAGAAUUGAUCGAUAACAACAGACUCUAUUAGAUUUCGACCAAGUUUAAGAGGACAAUCGAUGAAAGGAGUGAAAAAAUGAUUGCUUUGCCGAUUAAAAGGCAGGGGUGGCAAAUUGACGCGAGUCUGUAACUAUUAAUAGUGGAGUCGAUAAUUUAGGUAUUUGUAACUUCUUACAGAUAAGUGUUGUUGAUCGAUGAAACCAUGUGUGAAUUUGUGAUUGUUCAAUAAUUGUGUAUAUGUAAAUGUUGAUGGUGGGUUAUAAACACUUUCAGUGUAUACGUUGUAAAUGUUCACUCAAUCAAUCUUAGAACAUCCAAUGUUCUUUAUUUUC
This 30218-nucleotide long non-coding RNA is filed under the name Eucalyptus grandis. Its description in RNAcentral is "long non-coding RNA (EGRA_LNC000091)". The record is from RNAcentral. Lineage: Eukaryota; Viridiplantae; Streptophyta; Magnoliopsida; Myrtales; Myrtaceae.